UUUCCCAUUUGACUACCACUUUUUCUCUUAAUAGUAGAUUUUAGUAGCUAUGCUUAUGGAAUAUAUUAAAAUUGCCAUGAUCUGAAGAGGGAGGUUUUCUUUUUUUUUUCUUUUUUUUUUUUUUUUGGUGGUCUCCUUCUAUAUGAAAUGGCUGAACAGAAAGUU
This is a non-coding RNA of Otolemur garnettii (small-eared galago), 165 nucleotides long. The record is from Rfam. Lineage: Eukaryota; Metazoa; Chordata; Mammalia; Primates; Galagidae.